AGGCUCUGAACUGAAGCUUGCAGGGGUAGCCCCUCACACAGCCAAUACGAGGUCCAGCUCCCGUUGUCCAUUUGCAAGAUAACUGUUUCCCCAAUUGCAGCCAGCAGAGGUGGAGACAGAGAAAUUAAAUAUGGACUUUUUUGACAAACACAGAAAGAAGACCAGAGUUUCCUUUUUCCAACCACGUGCCACGGACAAUUCUCAACUCCAAACCCACGCAAGGCAUCCUCAACUUAUUGCAUCCAUUUACAUAAAAAAUUUCUCAAAAUUAAUGCAAAAGUAAUUAAUUGUUUCUGCUAAAAUUGAUGUGAAUCCAAACAUACUUUUAAUGUUACAUAGAUAUCUGUAGUCUUUCCUUUUAUAUUUAAUACAAUAAUAUUAUUUACCAUAGUUUUUUAUUGGAUUUAUUACAAUAGUUUUUGUGGGAAGAGUAUAAAAGAUUUACUCUUCAAACGGAAUAAUUAACUCAAAAGUUUUAUCAGCA
Long non-coding RNA from Cajanus cajan (pigeon pea), 484 nucleotides. RefSeq lists it as uncharacterized. NCBI's taxonomy places the organism in Eukaryota, Viridiplantae, Streptophyta, Magnoliopsida, Fabales, Fabaceae. The record is from RefSeq and is a predicted model, not a curated record.